UCUGUAGGCUGAUGAAGGUGCAUUGAGAAGUGUGCUGGAGGUAUCAGAAGUGCGAAUGCUGACAUGAGUAACGAUAAUGUGGGUGAAAAGCCCACACGCCGGAAGUCCCAGGUUUCCUGCACGACGUUAAUCGGAGCAGGGUGAGUCGGCCCCUAAGGCGAGGCUGAAGAGCGUAGUCGAUGGGAACCAGGUUAAUAUUCCUGGACUUUUUAUAAGUGGUGAAGUGGGGACGAAGAAGGCUAGGUGAGCCAGGCGUUGGUUGUCCUGGUACUUGCAUGUAGGGGGGAAGACUUGGCAAAUCCGGUUUUCCAUAACUCUGAGGUGCGAAGUGGUUCUGACCUUUUGGUACAGAGAAGUCAUUGAUGCCCGGCUUCCAGGAAAAGCUGCUAGCCAUAACUUAUAGAGAACCGUACCGCAAACCGACACAGGUGGACAGGUAGAGAAUACUAAGGCGCUUGAGAGAACUCGGGUGAAGGAACUAGGCAAAAUGGUACCGUAACUUCGGGAGAAGGUACGCCCUUUUGGGUGAGGGCAUUUACUGUCUGAGCUUAAGAGGGCCGCAGAGACCAGGUGGCUGC
Molecule: ribosomal RNA, 578 nt
Filed under: Legionella pneumophila
Lineage: Bacteria; Pseudomonadati; Pseudomonadota; Gammaproteobacteria; Legionellales; Legionellaceae
Description: partial 23S ribosomal RNA
Rfam family: Bacterial large subunit ribosomal RNA
Source: RNAcentral